UAUUGGGCAAUGGGCGAAAGCCUGACCGAGCAACGCCGCGUGAAUGAAGAAGGCCUUCGGGUNGUAAAAUUCUGUUAUAAGGGAANNCANNNGNUAGGAGGAAAUGACUAUCAAUUGACGGUACCUUAUGNNNANANCACGGCUAACUACGUGCCAGCAGCCGCGGUAAUACGUAGGGGGCAAGCGUUAUCCGGAAUUAUUGGGCGUAAAGAGCGCGCAGGUGGUUAAUUAAGUCUGAUGUGAAAGCCCACGGCUUAACCGUGGAGGGUCAUUGGAAACUGGUUGACUUGAGUGCAGAAGAGGGAAGUGGAAUUCCAUGUGUAGCGGUGAAAUGCGUAGAGAUAUGGAGGAAAACCAGUGGCGAAGGCGGCUUCCUGGUCUGCAACUGACACUGAGGCGCGAAAGCGUGGGGAGCAAAC
This 419-nucleotide ribosomal RNA is filed under the name uncultured bacterium. Its description in RNAcentral is "partial 16S ribosomal RNA". It matches the Rfam family "Bacterial small subunit ribosomal RNA", at positions 362 to 773 of the family's 1533-position model. The record is from RNAcentral.